GACGAACGCUGGCGGCGUGCUUAACACAUGCAAGUCGAACGGAAAGGCCCUGCUUGCAGGGUACUCGAGUGGCGAACGGGUGAGUAACACGUGGGUGAUCUGCCCUGCACUUCGGGAUAAGCCUGGGAAACUGGGUCUAAUACCGGAUAUGACCUUCCAUGUAGUGUGGGGGGUGGAAAGAUUUAUCGGUGUGGGAUGAGCCCGCGGCCUAUCAGCUUGUUGGUGGGGUAAUGGCCUACCAAGGCGUCGACGGGUAGCCGGCCUGAGAGGGUGGACGGCCACAUUGGGACUGAGAUACGGACCAGACUCCUACGGGAGGCAGCAGUGGGGAAUAUUGCACAAUGGGCGGAAGCCUUAUGCAGCGACGCCGCGUGGGGGAUGACGGCCUUCGGGUUGUAAACCUCUUUCGACAGGGACGAAGCUUCGGUGACGGUACCUGUAUAAGAAGCACCGGCUAACUACGUG
Molecule: ribosomal RNA, 465 nt
Filed under: uncultured bacterium
Lineage: Bacteria
Description: partial 16S ribosomal RNA
Rfam family: Bacterial small subunit ribosomal RNA
Source: RNAcentral